This 81-nucleotide microRNA precursor is filed under the name Lotus japonicus. RNAcentral's name for it is "miR11099 stem-loop (lja-MIR11099)". Lineage: Eukaryota; Viridiplantae; Streptophyta; Magnoliopsida; Fabales; Fabaceae. The record is from miRBase by way of RNAcentral.
UUCAUAGGACCUGCAUAGAAGCCAGUAAUCCAUUUAACGGUGUGCUAAUUGCAUUAGUGGCUUCUAUGCGAGUCAUAUGAA